GGGGAUUUAGCUCAGUGGUAGAGCGCUUGCCUAGCAAGCGCGCAAGGUCCUGGGUUCGGUCCCCAGCUCCG
This 71-nucleotide transfer RNA is filed under the name Rattus norvegicus (Norway rat). It matches the Rfam family "tRNA". Rfam says of the family: Transfer RNA (tRNA) molecules are approximately 80 nucleotides in length. Their secondary structure includes four short double-helical elements and three loops (D, anti-codon, and T loops). Further hydrogen bonds mediate the characteristic L-shaped molecular structure. tRNAs have two regions of fundamental functional importance: the anti-codon, which is responsible for specific mRNA codon recognition, and the 3' end, to which the tRNAs corresponding amino acid is attached (by aminoacyl-tRNA synthetases). tRNAs cope with the degeneracy of the genetic code in two manners: having more than one tRNA (with a specific anti-codon) for a particular amino acid; and 'wobble' base-pairing, i.e. permitting non-standard base-pairing at the 3rd anti-codon position. Lineage: Eukaryota; Metazoa; Chordata; Mammalia; Rodentia; Muridae. The record is from Rfam by way of RNAcentral.